This 503-nucleotide ribosomal RNA is filed under the name uncultured bacterium. RNAcentral's name for it is "partial 16S ribosomal RNA". It matches the Rfam family "Bacterial small subunit ribosomal RNA", at positions 30 to 523 of the family's 1533-position model. The record is from RNAcentral.
AUUGAACGCUGGCGGCAGGCUUAACACAUGCAAGUCGAGCGGGGUGAUGGUGCUUGCACUAUCACUUAGCGGCGGACGGGUGAGUAAUGCUUAGGAAUCUGCCUAUUAGUGGGGGACAACAUCUCGAAAGGGAUGCUAAUACCGCAUACGUCCUACGGGAGAAAGCAGGGGAUCACUUGUGACCUUGCGCUAAUAGAUGAGCCUAAGUCGGAUUAGCUAGUUGGGGGGGUAAAGGCCUACCAAGGCGACGAUCUGUAGCGGGUCUGAGAGGAUGAUCCGCCACGCUGGGACUGAGACACGGCCCAGACUCCUACGGGAGGCAGCAGUGGGGAAUAUUGGACAAUGGGGGGAACCCUGAUCCAGCCAUGCCGCGUGUGUGAAGAAGGCCUUAUGGUUGUAAAGCACUUUAAGCGAGGAGGGGGCUCUUUUGGUUAAUACCCAAGAUGAGUGGACGUUACUCGCAGAAUAAGCACCGGCUAACUCUGUGCCAGCCGCCGCCGUAA